This is a long non-coding RNA of Felis catus (domestic cat), 1763 nucleotides long. RefSeq lists it as uncharacterized. The transcript has 2 exons. The record is from RefSeq and is a predicted model, not a curated record. Lineage: Eukaryota; Metazoa; Chordata; Mammalia; Carnivora; Felidae.
CCAGUGUGUAUUUUCCGGUGUGUAUUAAGGGUUGCAAAAUGGGUAAAUGCUUUGCCACACUCAUUACAUUUGUAAGGUUUCUCUCCAGUAUGAGUUCUCUCAUGACCCCAAAGGUCUGAACGUUUGAUAAAAGCCUUAUCACACUUACUACAUUUAUAAGGUUUUUCUCCCGUAUGAAUUCUCCGAUGUGCCAUAAGGCUUGAACUUUGGUUAAAAGCCUUGUCACACACGUUACAUUUGUGUGGUUUCUCUCCAGUGUGUAUUGUCUGAUGCCUAGUAAGGUUUGCACAUUGGGUAAACGCUUUGCCACACUCGUUACAUUUGUAAGGUUUCUCUCCAGUAUGGAUUUUCUUAUGUCGAGUAAGAUUUGAACGGUCUGUAAAGGCUUUGCCACAGUCAUUACAUUUGUAAGGUCUCUGUCCACAAUGAAUUCUCUCAUGACUCAUGAGAUUUGAGCUUUUGCUAAAAGCCUUCCCACAGUCAUUACAUUUGUAAGAUUUUCCUCUAGCAUAACCUCUCCUGUAUUGUGCAGGUAAUAAAGGGUAUUUUAAAAUCUUCCUAGAUUUAUUCCAAAUGUUUUUGGUACUGGGAGGAAUUCCUUGAAGUGAUGAGACUGAGGAACCAUUGCUGACAGACUUCUCAGUUGGAUUACAUUCAUACAUUUUCUCCUCACUGUGAAAUCUCUGCAGUUCAGCCCGAUGUGCCUGCAAACUUAAUCCAAUUCUAUUUUCCAAGCAGUUUACGUACUGGUUUCCAGCACCAAUUCUGUUAUUGUCUAGUUUUAACAAAGUCCUUAUAAAUGGCUCACCACCCAUGAAAUACUGGUAUGUAUUAUUUCUUACAGAAACACUCUGCUUUUCAGGAAGAGUAACUGAGGACUGAUUAAGUUGCUGGUCUUUUCUACAAAUGAGAUUUUUGUUAUGGGUCAAAGGCACUUUAUAAUUUCUUGUAUCAUAUCCCCAAUGACUUUCAAACUCAUGCAUAUCUUCCCAGACUUCCUGGAGAUCAAAAUCCUUGAUUUCAUGACUUCCAUUUCUCUCCAAUAUCACCAAGUGGUAAAAUUCUCCUUUAUUAAUAUCCUCUGUUGGUGAUAAUUCCUUGAUUGCAAAUCCAUCGGAAGGGAUUCCUAUUAAAGAGAGUUGGAAGGUAAAUAUUUUAUACUGAAUUACAUAAUUACACAACCAAAUAAUACUUUAUACUGAACACAGUAAGUUUUUCAAGGAUGGUCUUCAAACACUAUCGUAAUAAUCAAUGUUUUUAAGUUUGCUUUUUAUAAAUUUUUCCAUAUUAAUAAUUUCUCUGAUUUUAAGGUAAUUUUUCCAAACACACAUUAUACACUAUCCAUAUUUUUUGGCCAUAUAACUGGAUAAUGAAAUGAUACUUCAUGAUUACAGAGCUCAUCUAUACACUGGCUAUUAUAUAACUGUGCAUGAAAUCAUAGAGAUGUUUAUCUUCCUUAAUUCCUAAUCUUUAUAAAAAUGUAUUUAUCUCAAGCUGUUAUUUCAUAAUUCAGUGAUUCUCAACAUAUCUUUGAUUUCUCCUACUAUGUGUUCCUUAUGGAAUGUAAAUUCUGUCUUCAGUUUUCAAGGAAGAAUUCUUUAGAAUUCCAGAGACUAUUAUUUUGUGUAACUGUGAUUACUCACUAACUUAACCUGCUAGAUUAUCGAUUUUCAGAUUGUAAUACGCAGGUUUCUUAUAAUAGUGUCUUGUUCUUUUCAUCAUAUCCUCAUACAUUAUUAAACACACAUCAUUAUUAAACACCA